GAGACCUUUUGGGAGCUCACUGGCUUCAGGUUCCAUAGGAACUCCGAAGUUAAGCGAGUUCGCUCAAGAGUAUUCCUAUGAUGGAUGGCCCACUAGGAAGUUCUCGUGUGAGUCCCCAAAAACAAAACUGUGAGGGUGUGGUCGGGGCCCACAUCGGACAAUAUUGUGCUACGGCGGUGUCAAACCCAGGAUGUGAUGGGGGCUCAGGCCAAGAUGUGACAAUUUGGUAUCAGAGCCAAUUCCUGGCCGUAAGUGUGCCAACGAGGACCUCGGGCCCCUAAGGGGGAUGGAUUGUAAGAUCCCACAUUGUCCAGAGAAGUGGAUCAUGUAAGCUUUAUAUGUAUAUUACCAUCUCUAUCUAGCACGAGGCAUUUUGGUAGCUCACUGGCUUCGAGUUUCAUCGGAAUUCCGAAGUUAAGUGAGUUCGCUUGAGAGCAUUUCCAUGAUGGGUAACCCACUGGGAAGUUCUUGUGUCCCAUAAA
Molecule: small RNA, 482 nt
Filed under: Malus domestica (apple)
Lineage: Eukaryota; Viridiplantae; Streptophyta; Magnoliopsida; Rosales; Rosaceae
Source: RNAcentral